AGAAAGGUUCUUUUUAGAACCAUUGUCUAUUAAAGGUUCUAU
Salmo salar (Atlantic salmon) is the source of this 42-nucleotide non-coding RNA. The record is from Rfam. Lineage: Eukaryota; Metazoa; Chordata; Actinopteri; Salmoniformes; Salmonidae.